UACAGAGGGUGCGAGCGUUAAUCGGAAUUACUGGGCGUAAAGCGUGCGUAGACGGCUAUCUAAGUCGGGUGUGAAAGCCCCGGGCUCAACCUGGGAACUGCAUUCAAAACUGACAAGCUAGAGUAUGGUAGAGGGUGGUGGAAUUUCCUGUGUAGCGGUGAAAUGCGUAGAUAUAGGAAGGAACACCAGUGGCGAAGGCGACCACCUGGACUGAUACUGACACUGAGGUGCGAAAGCGUGGGGAGCAAACAGG
This 253-nucleotide ribosomal RNA is filed under the name uncultured bacterium. RNAcentral's name for it is "partial 16S ribosomal RNA". It matches the Rfam family "Bacterial small subunit ribosomal RNA", at positions 524 to 776 of the family's 1533-position model. The record is from RNAcentral.